ACGGGGCUUAAGUCUUGUAUUGGAAUGAUGGGAAUUUAAACCUCUUCCAGAGAAAAAUUGGAGGGCAAGUCUGGUGCCAGCAGCCGCGGUAAUUCCAGCUCCAAUAGCGUAUAUUAAAAUUGUUGCAGUUAAAAAGCUCGUAGUUGAAUUUCUGCUGUAUUGCAUUUUCUCUUUUUAUAUGAGUUUUUGCAUUAUGGCUUAUUUCAGUAUUAAUUUUUUAUUAUUACUGAAUGUUUACUUUGAGAAAAUUAGAGUGCUCAAAGCAGGCUUUUGCCUUGAAUAGUUUAGCAUGAAAUAAUAAAGUAGGACUUUGGUUCUAUUUUGUUGGUUUUAGGUACCAAAGUAAUGGUUAAUAGGAACAGUUGGG
RNAcentral lists this ribosomal RNA (367 nucleotides) under Theileria sp. OT3-AP-2016. RNAcentral describes it as "SSU rRNA". It matches the Rfam family "Eukaryotic small subunit ribosomal RNA", at positions 485 to 886 of the family's 1831-position model. The record is from RNAcentral. Lineage: Eukaryota; Apicomplexa; Aconoidasida; Piroplasmida; Theileriidae.